Molecule: non-coding RNA, 113 nt
Organism: Acanthosepion pharaonis
Lineage: Eukaryota; Metazoa; Mollusca; Cephalopoda; Sepiida; Sepiidae
Source: the annotation of a GenBank genome assembly
UUACGGCCAUAUUACGUUGAAACACCGAUACUCGAACGAUCACCGGAGUUAAGCAACUUCAAGCCUGGUCAGUACCUAGAUGGGUGACCUCUUGGGAAUACCAAGUGCUGGAG